UGCGUAGGCGGACAGGUAAGUCAGUGGUGAAAUCUCUGGGCUUAACUCAGAAACUGCCGUUGAUACUAUUUGUCUUGAAUAUCAUGGAGGUAAGCGGAAUAUGUCAUGUAGCGGUGAAAUGCUUAGAUAUGACAUAGAACACCGAUAGCGAAGGCAGCUUACUACAUGAAGAUUGACGCUGAGGCACGAAAGCGUGGGGAGCAAACAGGAUUAGAUACCCUGGUAGUCCACGCCCUAAACUAUGGAUACUCGACAUCAGCGAUACACUGUUGGUGUCUGAGCGAAAGCAUUAAGUAUCCCACCUGGGAAGUACGACCGCAAGGUUGAA
This 328-nucleotide ribosomal RNA is filed under the name uncultured Flavobacteriia bacterium. RNAcentral's name for it is "bacterial SSU rRNA". It matches the Rfam family "Bacterial small subunit ribosomal RNA", at positions 568 to 898 of the family's 1533-position model. The record is from RNAcentral. Lineage: Bacteria; Pseudomonadati; Bacteroidota; Flavobacteriia.